GACGACGCUGGCGGCGUGCUUAACACAUGCAAGGCGAACGAGUGGCGAACGGGUGAGUAAUGUCUGGGGAACGGCGCGAUAGAGGGGGAGAACUAGUGGAAACGGUGGCUAAUACCGCAUACUAUCGGAUGGCCCCAUAGGGGAUUAGCUAGUAGGGGGGGUAAAGGCUCACCUAGGCGACGAUCUCUAGCUGGUCUGAGAGGAUGAUCAGCCACACUGGGACGGAGACACGGCGCAGACUCGUACGGGAGGCUGCAGUGGGGAACAUUUCGCAAUGGGGGCAAGCCUGAUGCAGCCAUGCCGCUGGUAUGAGGAAGGCCUUAUGGUUGUAAAGUACUUUCGGCGGCGAGGCGUUGCCCGCAGCAGAAUCACCGGCUAACUACGUGCCAGCAGCCGCGGUAAUUC
Molecule: ribosomal RNA, 405 nt
Filed under: uncultured bacterium
Lineage: Bacteria
Description: partial 16S ribosomal RNA
Rfam family: Bacterial small subunit ribosomal RNA
Source: RNAcentral